Long non-coding RNA from Haliotis rubra (blacklip abalone), 101 nucleotides. RefSeq lists it as uncharacterized. The record is from RefSeq and is a predicted model, not a curated record. Lineage: Eukaryota; Metazoa; Mollusca; Gastropoda; Lepetellida; Haliotidae. The transcript is spliced from 3 exons.
UGGUUCAGGGUCUUAAAACAGUUGAAAUCAUUUCUGUUGCAAUUUGUGGUGGGUUAGGUCAGAAUCUUACCAGGAUGACUGGACUAUAAAGCAACCAAAUC